CAGGCGGGCGCAGGAGCUGGGCUCUUCCCUGCCCACGGAUCGCAGAGGGACGCCCCGGGCCUGGGGCUCCAGCAGACGGGGCCGGACCCGGGUUGGAGUCACUGGGGAGAGGGAGGGUGCUCCGUGGCUCCUGUGGAGGCUUGGGUUGGGAGGGGGCAUCAGGGCUGUGUCCAGGAGACAUGCGGAAUAAAGUGGAUUUUAUUUAAGCCUGGUCCUGUGUUGGGGGAGGGGGCAUGAGGAGGCGGGUGAGAGCCCUGGCUGCAGAGGAUGCUGGGAUUCCCUUCUGGUGGAUGCAGGAAGGGGCUGGGGAGAAUCGGGACAAUAAGACACUUGUGCAUGAAGAUUUAAGUGGAAAAGUCGAUGCACAGAGACAGUCCCACUCUCUCAGCGUUGGAAGCCUGGGUCCAUUGGCACGAAAAGUCGUUACACCUGGAGACUUCCUCAGCUGCAUUGGAUGGCCUGCUGUCUUUUGUGCUCCAACACGCCCUGAGCACUCCACAGUGCUUUGCUGCGUCGCCCUCUCAGCCGUUGAACCUUCUUAUUGGUUUCUUCAGCCUGUUCUGCAGAAGCAGUCUUCACAUGCUGGGUGAGCAAAGCCCUAGUUCACCAGGGGUCGACGCAUUGGCUACCCUCACAAAGUUUAGCUGGCCUGUCGAAGCCGUUGCCCGGGGUGUGGCUGCUAGCAUGCUAGCAGCUACUGGGAGCCACAAGUGAGAGCUGGGUGUCAGGUGAGGGUCAGAGGCUGGAGAGCUGCCCUAGGAGGGCACGACAAGCCCUCCAUACCAGAGAUACUACCCCUCCCUGAGCACCCCAUACACCCCAUUGCCUUCAGGUACAAAUAUAAAAUGCUGUUUGGCAUUGAAAGCCCUACAAAAAGAGUUACUCCUACCUUUCCAGUCUUCUUACAUCUUAUUGCCCACUAUGUACUCUCCCACCCAGUGGAAAUGGCCUCCUGGCUAUUCAAGAAUAAGAUGCUCCAUUUCUCAACCCUGCCAUUUUCUCUGGCUGUCCCAUAUGCCUAGAAUGCCUUCUCUCUCUCUCUCCUCUCCCGGUACUGACCACCCUGACUUCCUUUAAGUCCUCUAAAUUCACCUUCUCCAGGAAGGUUUCCCCAUCCCUCCUAAUGCCAAGGCCUUCCUUGUUUUCAUUAUUUCUAUUUAUCGGGCAUACUGUUUACUUCAUAUAUGUAUAUAUGAGUUUAUCCCAUUAGAGUGUAAGCUCCCUGAGAGGCAGGGAUUAUUCUUUACCAAAUCUUUUUGCAUCCCUUGCGCUUAAUAAUAUGGUGCCUGGCAUAUAAAAGGUAGGCACUUAUGUUGAUUGAUUGAUUGAGGGCAAAGAUGAGUUGUUGUUUUUUGUCUUUGAAUUCCAAGGAUUAAACAGUGCCUGGCACAUAGUACUUGUUGUUUAGUCGUGCCUGACUCUUUCAUGACCCCAUUUGAGGUUUUCUUGGCAGAGAUACUAGAGAGGUUUGCCAUUUCCUUCUCUACUUCAUUUGACUGAUGGAGAAACUGAGGCAAACUGUGUUAAGUGACUUGCUCUGGGUCAUAAAUCUAGGAAGUGUCUGAUUUCAAGGAAGUGGAGUUUUGCUGA
This is a long non-coding RNA of Monodelphis domestica (gray short-tailed opossum), 1590 nucleotides long. The record is from Ensembl. NCBI's taxonomy places the organism in Eukaryota, Metazoa, Chordata, Mammalia, Didelphimorphia, Didelphidae.